This 444-nucleotide ribosomal RNA is filed under the name uncultured bacterium. RNAcentral describes it as "bacterial SSU rRNA". It matches the Rfam family "Bacterial small subunit ribosomal RNA", at positions 355 to 796 of the family's 1533-position model. The record is from RNAcentral.
UAAGGAAUAUUGGACAAUGGGGGCAACCCUGAUCCAGCCAUGCCGCGUGAAGGAUGAAGGCGCUAUGCGUUGUAAACUUCUUUUGAACGGGAGAAAACCCACCUACGUGUAGGUGGCUGAUAGUACCGUUAGAAUAAGGAUCGGCUAACUCCGUGCCAGCAGCCGCGGUAAUACGGAGGAUCCAAGCGUUAUCCGGAUUCAUUGGGUUUAAAGGGUGCGUAGGCGGACUGAUAAGUCAGCGGUGAAAUCUCUCGGCUUAACCGAGAAACUGCCGUUGAUACUGUCAGUCUUGAGUACAGAUGAUGUGGGCGGAAUAUGACAUGUAGUGGUGAAAUACUUAGAUAUGUCAUAGAACACCGAUUGCGAAGGCAGCUCACAAAACUGUGACUGACGCUGAGGCACGAAAGCGUGGGGAUCAAACAGGAUUAGAUACCCGCGUAGUCC